Paralichthys olivaceus (Japanese flounder) is the source of this 1072-nucleotide non-coding RNA. The record is from RefSeq and is a predicted model, not a curated record. Lineage: Eukaryota; Metazoa; Chordata; Actinopteri; Pleuronectiformes; Paralichthyidae.
UAUCAAUGGUGCUAUCAAUGGUGCUAUCAAUGGUGCUAUCAAUGAUGCUAUGAACUGAAUCCGGACAAAUGUGCUCUACCUGUCCACCUGCUGUUGAUGGACACCUGUUCAGCUGGACUUUUACCGGACACGUUUCAACGUGAAGGAGGGCUUCUGGACGCGUCACCUGAGUAGCGUUAGCAUCCAGCUAACAACAGGCUCAAACAAACAAAGCCAAACAAGACAGCAGCCUCAUGUUCCUGUUUUUUGGGGCUGCAAUUGUUCCAGUGGGCAUGGACGCGUAUCCAUACGAAGAGAAGAAAGAGAUAUAACAGCAUCGACCAAAAGAUAAUUCAACCUCCAGUUGUGAAGCAUGAAAUUGCACAGAGCAGUGACAUUUGGAUUCCUUGCAUUGGCUCCUGUUAGACCUGGAGUCAGACCUGCGCCCUGGCUGAUAAAGCAGCAUGCAUCACAGACAGGGAUUCUCCAGGCAGCGCACUGAUGGCAGGUCCAACGGGAUGACUGUCUGCCAUCUGUCCAGACAAAUGGAGGCAGGAGGAGUGUGGUCUUUUCAAAGGCCGCCAGCGAAAAACCUGAUGGAUGCACAAAUGAACACACAGAGGAGAGAAGUCGCGAUGCGGAGCCUGCAAUGUUUUAAUUACAGCUCUUUCCUCCUCCUCGACAAACAUAAAGGGGGAUUUCUGUCACAUGCUCUCCCUCUCCUCUCCACCUCUCUCUGCACAGCUUGGUGAGCUGGCAUUAAUUGCUCCAGAAGCUGUGGAAGCACAACAAGUGCUUCUCAUCCUGGUGUAAUUGUGUCUGUAGGAGUUUGGGGGGGCUUGAGGAGAAAAAGUCUUUGUGGUGCUUCUUGGGAGCUGAGGACAUAUGUGACAGAACAUGAUGUGGUGGCGCACUCUGGUGGACACACUGAAAGAAAAGGGUGCACAGAGAAUUUACAAAUCCUAAUAAAAAACAACUUUUCACAUAGUUUACACAUGUAAAGUGUUAAUGUCCAACUAAGUGAUUUGUUUUCUUUAAUUUAAGGACAAAAUAACAUAAGUAACACACACAGAACAUCUGAUGUCUACAAGAA